Molecule: long non-coding RNA, 277 nt
Filed under: Homo sapiens (human)
Lineage: Eukaryota; Metazoa; Chordata; Mammalia; Primates; Hominidae
Description: non-protein coding lnc-PIWIL4-1:5
Source: RNAcentral
AUCCUGGGGUGAGAAUCACAUCCAGUUUAUACCUCCCUGUGCACACUUGUAUAAAACAACUAUAAGACACACGAGAGAUCUGGAAGCCAGUUCCUCAUAAGUAAGAAUUGGUCAGGCUGCAUUUGUAUCCUGGGUCCACAAGACAUCGUUUCCUUAAAACCAAUCCCCCUGAUUUUGCUAAGUGUCUGCAAGCCUAAUAUUUCAUGGAUGUUUGACAAGGACCCCGUCUUUAGCUGAACUAAGGAGAAAGUCCUGCAACACACACAUGGAGCUCAGC